This 464-nucleotide ribosomal RNA is filed under the name Serratia marcescens. RNAcentral's name for it is "bacterial SSU rRNA". It matches the Rfam family "Bacterial small subunit ribosomal RNA", at positions 68 to 525 of the family's 1533-position model. Lineage: Bacteria; Pseudomonadati; Pseudomonadota; Gammaproteobacteria; Enterobacterales; Yersiniaceae. The record is from RNAcentral.
GCACAGGGGAGCUUGCUCCCUGGGUGACGAGCGGCGGACGGGUGAGUAAUGUCUGGGAAACUGCCUGAUGGAGGGGGAUAACUACUGGAAACGGUAGCUAAUACCGCAUAACGUCGCAAGACCAAAGAGGGGGACCUUCGGGCCUCUUGCCAUCAGAUGUGCCCAGAUGGGAUUAGCUAGUAGGUGGGGUAAUGGCUCACCUAGGCGACGAUCCCUAGCUGGUCUGAGAGGAUGACCAGCCACACUGGAACUGAGACACGGUCCAGACUCCUACGGGAGGCAGCAGUGGGGAAUAUUGCACAAUGGGCGCAAGCCUGAUGCAGCCAUGCCGCGUGUGUGAAGAAGGCCUUCGGGUUGUAAAGCACUUUCAGCGAGGAGGAAGGUGGUGAACUUAAUACGUUCAUCAAUUGACGUUACUCGCAGAAGAAGCACCGGCUAACUCCGUGCCAGCAGCCGCGGUAAUA